UGUGGGAGCGAGCUUGCUCGCGAUAGCGGCGGGUCAGCCACAUUGAAGUUGACUGAUCUACCGCUAUCGCGAGCAAGCUCGCUCCCACA
RNAcentral lists this unclassified non-coding RNA (89 nucleotides) under Pseudomonas brassicacearum. The record is from RNAcentral. Lineage: Bacteria; Pseudomonadati; Pseudomonadota; Gammaproteobacteria; Pseudomonadales; Pseudomonadaceae.